AACACGUGGACAACCUACCCUCCGGACGGGUUUAAACCCGGGAAACUGGGUAUAAUCCCCGAUAGAUCUCGGUCGCUGGAAUGCCCCGAGAUCGAAAGCUCCGGCGCCAGAGGAUGGGUCUGCGGCCUAUCAGGUAGUAGUGGGUGUAGCGUACCUACUAGCCUACGACGGGUACGGGUUGUGAGAGCAAGAGCCCGGAGAUGGAUUCUGAGACACGAAUCCAGGCCCUACGGGGUGCAGCAGGCGCGAAAACUUUACAAUGCCGGCAACGGCGAUAAGGGGACCUCGAGUGCCAGGUUACAAAUCUGGCUGUCGUGAUGCCUAAAAAGCAUUGCAUAGCAAGGGCCGGGCAAGACCGGUGCCAGCCGCCGCGGUAACACCGGCGGCUCGAGUGGUAACCGUUAUUAUUGGGUCUAAAGGGUCUGUAGCCGGCCGGAUAAGUCUCUUGAGAAAUCCAGCAGCUCAACUGUUGGGCUUUCAGGAGAUACUGUUCGGCUCGAGGCCGGGAGAGGUGAGAGGUACUUCAGGGGUAGGGGUGAAAUCUUGUAAUCCUUGAAGGACCACCAGUGGCGAAGGCGUCUCACCAGAACGGACCCUGACGGCAGGGACGAAAGCUAGGGGCACGAACCGGAUUAGAUACCCGGGUAGUCCUAGCCGUAAACGAUACUCGCU
This 672-nucleotide ribosomal RNA is filed under the name uncultured Methanosaeta sp. RNAcentral describes it as "bacterial SSU rRNA". It matches the Rfam family "Archaeal small subunit ribosomal RNA", at positions 95 to 768 of the family's 1478-position model. Lineage: Archaea; Methanobacteriati; Methanobacteriota; Methanomicrobia; Methanotrichales; Methanotrichaceae. The record is from RNAcentral.